AGUGAACGCUGGCGGUAGGCCUAACACAUGCAAGUCGAACGGCAGCACAGUAAGAGUUUGCUCUUACGGGUGGCGAGUGGCGGACGGGUGAGGAAUACAUCGGAAUCUACUUUUUCGUGGGGGAUAACGUAGGGACACUUACGCUAAUACCGCAUAUGACCUACGGGUGAAAGCAGGGGAUAUUCGCACCUUGCGCGAUUCAAUGAGCCGAUGUCGGAUUAGCUAGUUGGCGGGGUAAAGGCCCACCAAGGCGACGAUCCGUAGCUGGUCUGAGAGGAUGAUCGGCCACACUGGAACUGAGACACGGUCCAGACUCCUACGGGAGGCAGCAGUAGGGAAUAUUGGGCAAUGGGCGCAAGCCUGAUCCAGCCAUACCGCGUGGGUGAAGAAGGCCUUCGGGUUGUAAAGCCCUUUUGUUGGGAAAGAAAAGCAGCAGAUGAAUACCCCGCUGUUCUGACGGUACCCAAAGAAUAAGCACCGGCUAACUUCGUG
Molecule: ribosomal RNA, 492 nt
Filed under: uncultured bacterium
Lineage: Bacteria
Description: partial 16S ribosomal RNA
Rfam family: Bacterial small subunit ribosomal RNA
Source: RNAcentral